AUCGCUUCUCGGCCUUUUGGCUAAGAUCAAGUGUAGUAUCUGUUCUUAUCAGUUUAAUAUCUGAUAUGUCCUCUAUUUGAGGACUACAUAUUAAAUGGAUUUUUGGAAUUGGGAGAUGGAAUAGGGGCUUGCUCCGUCCACUCCAAGCAUCAGCCUGGUAUUGCAGUACCUCCAGGAAUGGUGCACCUCCC
This is a small nuclear RNA of Naja naja (Indian cobra), 191 nucleotides long. Its record names the gene U2. It matches the Rfam family "U2 spliceosomal RNA". From Rfam's summary of the family: U2 is a small nuclear RNA (snRNA) component of the spliceosome (involved in pre-mRNA splicing). NCBI's taxonomy places the organism in Eukaryota, Metazoa, Chordata, Lepidosauria, Squamata, Elapidae. The record is from Ensembl.